Molecule: ribosomal RNA, 1101 nt
Filed under: Lactobacillus sp. Com4
Lineage: Bacteria; Bacillati; Bacillota; Bacilli; Lactobacillales; Lactobacillaceae
Description: bacterial SSU rRNA
Rfam family: Bacterial small subunit ribosomal RNA
Source: RNAcentral
CGUGGGGGGUGCUAUACAUGCAGUCGAACGAACUCUGGUAUUGAUUGGUGCUUGCAUCAUGAUUUACAUUUGAGUGAGUGGCGAACUGGUGAGUAACACGUGGGAAACCUGCCCAGAAGCGGGGGAUAACACCUGGAAACAGAUGCUAAUACCGCAUAACAACUUGGACCGCAUGGUCCGAGUUUGAAAGAUGGCUUCGGCUAUCACUUUUGGAUGGUCCCGCGGCGUAUUAGCUAGAUGGUGGGGUAACGGCUCACCAUGGCAAUGAUACGUAGCCGACCUGAGAGGGUAAUCGGCCACAUUGGGACUGAGACACGGCCCAAACUCCUACGGGAGGCAGCAGUAGGGAAUCUUCCACAAUGGACGAAAGUCUGAUGGAGCAACGCCGCGUGAGUGAAGAAGGGUUUCGGCUCGUAAAACUCUGUUGUUAAAGAAGAACAUAUCUGAGAGUAACUGUUCAGGUAUUGACGGUAUUUAACCAGAAAGCCACGGCUAACUACGUGCCAGCAGCCGCGGUAAUACGUAGGUGGCAAGCGUUGUCCGGAUUUAUUGGGCGUAAAGCGAGCGCAGGCGGUUUUUUAAGUCUGAUGUGAAAGCCUUCGGCUCAACCGAAGAAGUGCAUCGGAAACUGGGAAACUUGAGUGCAGAAGAGGACAGUGGAACUCCAUGUGUAGCGGUGAAAUGCGUAGAUAUAUGGAAGAACACCAGUGGCGAAGGCGGCUGUCUGGUCUGUAACUGACGCUGAGGCUCGAAAGUAUGGGUAGCAAACAGGAUUAGAUACCCUGGUAGUCCAUACCGUAAACGAUGAAUGCUAAGUGUUGGAGGGUUUCCGCCCUUCAGUGCUGCAGCUAACGCAUUAAGCAUUCCGCCUGGGGAGUACGGCCGCAAGGCUGAAACUCAAGGAAUUGACGGGGGCCCGCACAAGCGGUGGAGCAUGUGGUUUAAUUCGAAGCUACGCGAAGAACCUUACCAGGUCUUGACAUACUAUGCAAAUCUAAGAGAUUAGACGUUCCCUUCGGGGACAUGGAUACAGGUGGUGCAUGGUUGUCGUCAGCUCGUGUCGUGAGAUGUUGGGUUAAGUCCCGCAACGAGCGCAACCCU